Molecule: small nuclear RNA, 106 nt
Organism: Gorilla gorilla gorilla (western lowland gorilla)
Lineage: Eukaryota; Metazoa; Chordata; Mammalia; Primates; Hominidae
Source: Ensembl
GUGCUCGUCCGGCAGCACAUAUACUCAAACUGGAAUGAUUUGGAGAAGAUUAGCAUGGCCCUUGUGCAAGGAUGACACACAAAUUCGUGAAGUGUUCCAUAUUUUG